CUCGUAGGCGGCCAACUAAGUCAGACGUGAAAUCCCUCGGCUUAACCGGGGAACUGCGUCUGAUACUGGAUGGCUUGAGUUUGGGAGAGGGACGCGGAAUUCCAGGUGUAGCGGUGAAAUGCGUAGAUAUCUGGAGGAACACCGGUGGCGAAGGCGGCGUCCUGGACCAACACUGACACUGAGGAGCGAAAGCCAGGGGAGCAAACG
RNAcentral lists this ribosomal RNA (207 nucleotides) under uncultured bacterium. RNAcentral describes it as "partial 16S ribosomal RNA". It matches the Rfam family "Bacterial small subunit ribosomal RNA", at positions 568 to 774 of the family's 1533-position model. The record is from RNAcentral.